AGUUCCGCCUUGGGACGAGGCCCUGGCUGGGGGAACCGCAUCAGGCCUGACACCCAUCCCAUUCCCCCCUAAACCCAGAACGACAUCCAACCUCAUUCCGCAGCCCCUUCCCGACCUCGCCGCUCAGGCUAUGAUGGAAAGGUCCCUGGGAGUGGGGAGGAGGGCGAAUUUAAACCCAGAGAGAGAUCCUGUAGCCCAGUUCUCCUCGGUUCCCUAAACCUCCAGGAAAGCGGAGAAAGUCACAUUGUGGUGGCAGCUGCAGGUUUUUUUUUUUUAAUCUGUUAAUAAAACGCAAGUGAAUCAAAUCCGCCCUAAGGGAAGGGGGGGGGGCGCGGCGAGGCAGGGGCCAUGGUGUUUGCAGAAGUUGGAAAUUUAAUAAGAAGGAAAAAUAAAAAUAGCCACUGUGCUGGAGAGAGAGAGAGAGAAGGUUGGGAGAAGCAGCGCCCCUCACCUUCUGAGCUACUCAAGAGAUGGGGGACAGGAGCAGUACUGCCAAGAACAGUUGUGCAAGUUGCACACUGCACAAGCAUACCAGACAGAAGCUAGAGCAGAAGCUGACGUCGUCUGUUCCCCUCACCACACAUUGCAUCUGCCCAGAGGAAGAGGUGCCGUGCUGGGCAGUGAAUGAAUGAACCUUGCCCUGGGUUUAACACUCCAGUGGGAUGAACAGACAAACCCCACAAGCACUGCAUACGGCUUCAUGUCCAUUUUGGGUCGUUGCAAGGAGGUUCUGCUCAUCAUAGUCUCCGAUGGAACAGCCACAUUCUGGAACAUUAUGAAACAUUGCUUGCUGUCACGCUGGAAGGAACCUAUUCCAUCGGAAGACUCGUGGAUGAAGACGGUUAUGGUAAU
RNAcentral lists this long non-coding RNA (852 nucleotides) under Homo sapiens (human). Its description in RNAcentral is "non-protein coding lnc-ADGRL1-1:1". The record is from RNAcentral. Lineage: Eukaryota; Metazoa; Chordata; Mammalia; Primates; Hominidae.